ACAAAUAAUAGAACCAACGAGAAGAAAAUGAGCUAUGAAACAAAGAUAAUUAACUAAGUAGGUGAUUGGUUGGGCUGUAACUGUAAAAUUUUUGCUGUAGAGAUUUUGCUGUAACUGUGUUGACUGUAGCUGUAACUUUUCUUACUGUAAAAUUACUGUUGUAAGUUUUUAACUUGAA
Molecule: small RNA, 178 nt
Filed under: Arabidopsis thaliana (thale cress)
Lineage: Eukaryota; Viridiplantae; Streptophyta; Magnoliopsida; Brassicales; Brassicaceae
Description: ATSL174350
Source: RNAcentral